RNAcentral lists this ribosomal RNA (253 nucleotides) under uncultured bacterium. Its description in RNAcentral is "partial 16S ribosomal RNA". It matches the Rfam family "Bacterial small subunit ribosomal RNA", at positions 524 to 776 of the family's 1533-position model. The record is from RNAcentral.
UACGUAGGGUGCGAGCGUUGUUCGGAUUCAUUGGGCGUAAAGGGUGUGUAGGUGGCGCGCUAAGUCGGGUGUGAAAUUUCGGAGCUUAACUCCGAAACUGCAUUCGAUACUGGCGUGCUUGAGGACUGGAGAGGAGACUGGAAUUUACGGUGUAGCGGUGAAAUGCGUAGAUAUCGUAAGGAAGACCAGUGGCGAAGGCGGGUCUCUGGACAGUUCCUGACGCUGAGGCACGAAGGCCAGGGGAGCAAACGGG